This 75-nucleotide transfer RNA is filed under the name Methanocorpusculum sp. MCE. RNAcentral's name for it is "tRNA-Asp". It matches the Rfam family "tRNA". Rfam says of the family: Transfer RNA (tRNA) molecules are approximately 80 nucleotides in length. Their secondary structure includes four short double-helical elements and three loops (D, anti-codon, and T loops). RNAcentral also lists the same sequence under 1 other name. Lineage: Archaea; Methanobacteriati; Methanobacteriota; Methanomicrobia; Methanomicrobiales; Methanocorpusculaceae. The record is from RNAcentral.
UGCCCAAGUAGUGUAGUGGCCUAUCAUGCAGCCCUGUCACGGCUGCGACUCGGAUUCGAAUUCCGACUUGGGCGU